AUUGAACGCUGGCGGCAUGCCUUACACAUGCAAGUCGAACGGUAACAGGUCUUCGGAUGCUGACGAGUGGCGAACGGGUGAGUAAUACAUCGGAACGUGCCUAGUAGUGGGGGAUAACUACUCGAAAGAGUGGCUAAUACCGCAUGAGAUCUACGGAUGAAAGCAGGGGAUCGCAAGACCUUGUGCUACUAAAGCGGCCGAUGGCAGAUUAGGUAGUUGGUGGGAUAAAAGCUUACCAAGCCGACGAUCUGUAGCUGGUCUGAGAGGACGAUCAGCCACACUGGGACUGAGACACGGCCCAGACUCCUACGGGAGGCAGCAGUGGGGAAUUUUGGACAAUGGGCGAAAGCCUGAUCCAGCAAUGCCGCGUGCAGGAUGAAGGCCUUCGGGUUGUAAACUGCUUUUGUACGGAACGAAAAGCCCCGGGUUAAUACCCUGGGGUCAUGACGGUACCGUAAGAAUAAGCACCGGCUAACUACGUGCCAGCAGCCGCGGUAA
This 498-nucleotide ribosomal RNA is filed under the name uncultured bacterium. RNAcentral describes it as "partial 16S ribosomal RNA". It matches the Rfam family "Bacterial small subunit ribosomal RNA", at positions 30 to 523 of the family's 1533-position model. The record is from RNAcentral.